RNAcentral lists this long non-coding RNA (290 nucleotides) under Coffea arabica (coffee). RNAcentral describes it as "long non-coding RNA (CARA_LNC005644)". Lineage: Eukaryota; Viridiplantae; Streptophyta; Magnoliopsida; Gentianales; Rubiaceae. The record is from RNAcentral.
UUUUUCUCCCUCUUCUGAUCUCCUCUCUUGCUCUCCGCUCCUUUCCUGUUUGCCCCCGAAGCUCCUCUCCCUCUCUUUCUGGUUUUUUCUUUGUUUGAUCUCCUCAGAUCCUAUCUUGUUUUCUUUUCAGUUUUCUUUCCUUGUUUUCCUGCCCCCGAAGCUCUCCUUUUUGGUUCCAGAUUUUCUUCCUCCUCUCCAGCUCACUUCCCUUCCCCUCUUUCCUUUCUUUUGCCCGAAGCUUUUUCCUUGUCCCUUUUUUUUCAGCUCCAAAACCCUCUUUUUUUCCUCCU